UUUACGGGACGGGUUUGGCGAGA
Molecule: non-coding RNA, 23 nt
Filed under: Arabidopsis thaliana (thale cress)
Lineage: Eukaryota; Viridiplantae; Streptophyta; Magnoliopsida; Brassicales; Brassicaceae
Source: RNAcentral